UAGCUGGCAGCAAAUAUACUAAAACUGGAAUGAUACAGAGAAGGUUAGCAUGGCCUCUGCGCAAGGAUGACACGCAAAUUCGUGAA
Molecule: small nuclear RNA, 86 nt
Filed under: Chelonoidis abingdonii (Abingdon island giant tortoise)
Lineage: Eukaryota; Metazoa; Chordata; Testudines; Testudinidae
Source: RNAcentral